UACGUAGGGGGCAAGCGUUGUCCGGAAUUAUUGGGCGUAAAGCGCGCGUAGGCGGCCUUGCAAGUUAGAGGUGAAAGCCCGGAGCUCAACUCCGGAACUGCCUUUAAAACUGCAUAGCUUGAAUCCGGGAGAGGUGAGUGGAAUUCCGAGUGUAGAGGUGAAAUUCGUAGAUAUUCGGAAGAACACCAGUGGCGAAGGCGGCUCACUGGACCGGUAUUGACGCUGAGGUGCGAAAGCGUGGGGAGCGAUCCGG
This 253-nucleotide ribosomal RNA is filed under the name uncultured bacterium. Its description in RNAcentral is "partial 16S ribosomal RNA". It matches the Rfam family "Bacterial small subunit ribosomal RNA", at positions 524 to 776 of the family's 1533-position model. The record is from RNAcentral.